GAUGAACGCUAGCGGGAGGCCUAACACAUGCAAGCCGAGCGGGAUUUGUUGGUUAGCUUGCUAACUAACAAUGAGAGCGGCGUACGGGUGCGUAGCACGUGUGCAACCUGCCUUUAUCUGGGGGAUAGCCUUUCGAAAGGAAGAUUAAUACCCCAUAACAUAUUGAUUGGCAUCAGUUAAUAUUGAAAGCUCCGGCGGAUAGAGAUGGGCACGCGUAAGAUUAGCUAGUUGGUGAGGUAACGGCUCACCAAGGCUGCGAUCUUUAGGGGGCCUGAGAGGGUGAUCCCCCGCACUGGUACUGAGACACGGACCAGACUCCUACGGGAGGCAGCAGUGAGUAAUAUUAGACAAUGGGUGAGAGCCUGAACCAGCCAUCCCGCGUGAAGGACUAAGGACCUAUGGUUUGUAAACUUCUUUUAUACAGGGAUAAACCUACUCUCGUGAGGGUAGCUGAAGGUACUGUAUGAAUAAGCACCGGCUAACUCCGUG
Molecule: ribosomal RNA, 489 nt
Filed under: uncultured bacterium
Lineage: Bacteria
Description: partial 16S ribosomal RNA
Rfam family: Bacterial small subunit ribosomal RNA
Source: RNAcentral